Molecule: long non-coding RNA, 612 nt
Filed under: Bos indicus x Bos taurus (hybrid cattle)
Lineage: Eukaryota; Metazoa; Chordata; Mammalia; Artiodactyla; Bovidae
Description: lncRNA (ENSBIXG00000023567.1)
Source: RNAcentral
GCUGAGGGAAACCAGUUGGGCAAUAUUCAACAAGUGUUUAUUGAUCCCUGAUUAGGUCCCAGCCAGUGUGCAACUUUGUUUCAUAACAUUAAAAUAUGUUGCAAGUUGGCUCUGUAUGAUUAUCCCAGCAAGGGAAGAGAACACAGAGGGGGCUAUGCCAGCAGUUGAAGAUGUCAAAGCAGACUUGUUAUAUGAGUCCACCUACCUCGAAAAAAGGUCUAAAUUCAGAAACUAACAUCCGGACCAGGGAAGCUGAGGUGACUGAUGACCGCGCUUGUGUUUGCACAUACAGUAUUGUACUACAUUUUCAAUCACAUUUCGCAUCGGAUAACUCUAAGACAGAUGAGGUCCACCUGCUCCAGGUGCCGCGGCCUCCAGGAACCAUCAGGAACUGCCCCGGGGUGGGGCCAGGACAGCGGAGCCGUCAAGAAGUCAGAUGUCUUCAGCAGUUGUUUAACUCUGAAAUUCAAGGUGUGGGGAAAGUCUCUCCAGAAAUAGGGUUUCUUUUAAGGUUUUUUUUUUGUUGUUGUUGUUCUGUUUUUCACAUGGUUGGAGUCUCCUGUGUAUGAUGGCCAAUCUAUUAUGCAAUUUUUGUAGCUCUGAAGUGAUAAU